GAUGAACGCUGGCGGUAUGCUUAACACAUGCAAGUCGAACGGUCACUUCGGUGAUAGUGGCGGACGGGUGAGUAACGCGUGAGAAUCUGUCUCUAGGUCUGGGACAACAGUUAGAAAUGACUGCUAAUACCGGAUGUGCCUAACGGUGAAAGAUUAAUUGCCUGAAAAUGAGCUCGCGUCAGAUUAGCUAGUAGGUGGUGUAAGAGACUACCUAGGCACCGAUCUGUAGCUGGUCUGAGAGGACGAUCAGCCACACUGGAACUGAGACACGGUCCAGACUCCUACGGGAGGCAGCAGUGGGGAAUUUUCCGC
RNAcentral lists this ribosomal RNA (312 nucleotides) under Calothrix sp. O1.5aii. Its description in RNAcentral is "bacterial SSU rRNA". It matches the Rfam family "Bacterial small subunit ribosomal RNA", at positions 28 to 369 of the family's 1533-position model. The record is from RNAcentral. Lineage: Bacteria; Bacillati; Cyanobacteriota; Cyanophyceae; Nostocales; Calotrichaceae.